RNAcentral lists this long non-coding RNA (1213 nucleotides) under Pectinophora gossypiella (pink bollworm). Its description in RNAcentral is "uncharacterized LOC126380756". The record is from RNAcentral. Lineage: Eukaryota; Metazoa; Arthropoda; Insecta; Lepidoptera; Gelechiidae.
UUAAUCAUCAAGAAAAAAAAUAUGUAAGAUAUGGCUGUAUGGGCAUAGUUUCCUUUGCCUUACCCUUCGGGGAAAACAAAAAAUAUAUUUUUUUUGUCUCGGUCGUGUCUCGGCAAAGACCUUUGUGUCUCGGUGAACAUUUGAACAAUUGGUGAAGUUCUAUUGUAUUGAUAAUAUUUUCCUGUGCUACUUUUUUCCUACCUACUUUAUUAGAAUUUGUAACUUACAAGUUCAUCGAGUCGAGCCCUACUUCUCCGUUUUUGCGUGGAUAUUCAACUGGUAAAACUUCCAGAACCAUUAUGUGUUUUGGAUAAAGCCGAAAUGAUAAAAAGUUUGUGGAUAAUGUGUUAGAUGCUGAUCGACUUUGUGUGUAACUCAUACUAAGAGAUGCAAGUAACAAUAACAAGUCUCCUGAUGAAUGUUCCAGUCCGAGAGUUGGAAGUAAUGUGUCUGUAUAAGAUGUGGAAUAUCUUUGGGAAGGCAUACAAGAAGACAAAAUCACAGGCCAUAACCUUGAAAGAAAUGAAGAGUGACAUAUAGAAAAACAAAAAUAUCUCCGAGACAGAUUCCUGAUGGAUGCUCAUGUAUGCAUUGUUUGCAGGAUGAGCUCACCUCAAAAGUAUUAAUAUCUAGUGAACAUAAGAGCUGUGUUAAGUGUGCCGUUCUGUUGCAUUGUAUGUAGUUAGUAGCUAUUUAUGUUCAUAAAUGUUGUUAAACUAUGAGCUUAAAUUACUUUAUAAUUUAUAUUAUCAUAUCAUUAAAUAGUUAAUAAGCUAGUUAGGCACAUAACCCAUAUAUUUUAAUGUUAUUGUCAAGUUUAUUCUAUACCUACUUACUAAUAUGUUACCAUAUUAAGUUCCCUGACAUGAUUUAUGUAAUGACUAUGUACUAACAUCAGUAAGUAGUAACUGGGACCAGCAGCUUAACAUGCCAUUCGAAGCAUAGAUUAUCUUACUUCAGGCAAUCGGUUGAUCAGCCAGCCAUCUCCUAACCAAACUGGGGAUCACAAAGUAAUUUUUGGGGAGUUGAACCGAGGACCUCCAGAUGUGUUGACCCAACAGUCAGCCACUGGACCAUGGAGGCCGAGAGUACUUGGUUAAGUUGCUGUUUUAUUUCAACUAUUUAAUUAAAUGUAGAAAUAUUUUGUGUGGUUGCACCUACUUAUGAUAUUUUAAAUAUAUAAUAAAACAACUUAUUUCUAAAAAUAUAUCUU